UCCCUGGUGGUCUAGUGGCUAAGGAUCCCGUGCGCUCACUGCUGUGGCCCGGGUUUGAUUCCCGAGCAGGGAA
Molecule: non-coding RNA, 73 nt
Organism: Pangasianodon gigas (Mekong giant catfish)
Lineage: Eukaryota; Metazoa; Chordata; Actinopteri; Siluriformes; Pangasiidae
Source: the annotation of a GenBank genome assembly